Molecule: transfer RNA, 76 nt
Filed under: Akkermansiaceae bacterium
Lineage: Bacteria; Pseudomonadati; Verrucomicrobiota; Verrucomicrobiia; Verrucomicrobiales; Akkermansiaceae
Description: tRNA-Cys
Rfam family: tRNA
About the family: Transfer RNA (tRNA) molecules are approximately 80 nucleotides in length. Their secondary structure includes four short double-helical elements and three loops (D, anti-codon, and T loops).
Source: RNAcentral
GGCGGAGUAGCCAAGUGGCUAAGGCAACGGUUUGCAAAACCGUCAUUCGUGGGUUCGAUUCCCACCUCCGCCUCCA